This 143-nucleotide ribosomal RNA is filed under the name Ancylostoma ceylanicum. RNAcentral's name for it is "5.8S ribosomal RNA". It matches the Rfam family "5.8S ribosomal RNA". From Rfam's summary of the family: 5.8S ribosomal RNA (5.8S rRNA) is a component of the large subunit of the eukaryotic ribosome. The record is from Rfam by way of RNAcentral. Lineage: Eukaryota; Metazoa; Nematoda; Chromadorea; Rhabditida; Ancylostomatidae.
UAGCUUCAACGAUGAAUCGUCGAUUCGCGUAUCGAUGAAGAACACAGCUUAUUGCGUUAUUUACCACGAAUUGCAGACGCUUAGAGAGGUGAAAUUACUAUUCAACGCUCGUGCACUUAACUUGUCAUUCAGUACCAGCGCCA